AAUCUUCCACAAUGGACGGAAGUCUGAUGGAGCAAUGCCGCGUGAGCGAAGAAGGUUUUCGGAUCGUAAAACUCUGUUGUAAGGGAAGAACAAGUACAGUAGUAACUGGCUGUCCCUUGACGGUACCUUAUUAGAAAGCCACGGCUACCUACGUGCCAGCAGCCGCGGUAAUACGUAGGUGGCAAGCGUUGUCCGGAAUUAUUGGGCGUAAAGCGCGCGCAGGUGGUUUCUUAAGUCUGAUGUGAAAGCCCACGGCUCAACCGUGGAGGGUCAUUGGAAACUGGGAGACUUGAGUGCAGAAGAGGAUAGUGGAAUUCCAAGUGUAGCGGUGAAAUGCGUAGAGAUUUGGAGGAACACCAGUGGCGAAGGCGACUAUCUGGUCUGUAACUGACACUGUGGCGCGAAAGCGUGGGGAGCAAACA
Molecule: ribosomal RNA, 422 nt
Filed under: uncultured bacterium
Lineage: Bacteria
Description: partial 16S ribosomal RNA
Rfam family: Bacterial small subunit ribosomal RNA
Source: RNAcentral